This 345-nucleotide unclassified non-coding RNA is filed under the name soil metagenome. RNAcentral's name for it is "partial contains 5.8S ribosomal RNA, internal transcribed spacer 2, and large subunit ribosomal RNA". The stretch from base 1 to 120 matches the Rfam family "5.8S ribosomal RNA", at positions 35 to 154 of the family's 154-position model. The record is from RNAcentral.
GAUGAAGAACGCAGCGAAAUGCGAUACGUAAUGUGAAUUGCAGAAUUCAGUGAAUCAUCGAGUCUUUGAACGCACAUUGCGCCCCCUGGUAUUCCGGGGGGCAUGCCUGUCCGCGCGUCAUUGCUGCCCUCAAGCACGGCUUGUGUGUUGGGCCUCCGUCCUCCUCCCGGGGGACGGGCCCGAAAGGCAGCGGCGGCACCGCGUCCGGUCCUCGAGCGUAUGGGGCUUCGUCACCCGCUCUUGUAGGCCCGGCCGGCGCUUGCCGACACAUCAAUCUUUUUUCCAGGUUGACCUCGGAUCAGGUAGGGAUACCCGCUGAGCUUAAGCAUAUCAAUAAGCGGAGGA